This 229-nucleotide ribosomal RNA is filed under the name uncultured bacterium. Its description in RNAcentral is "partial 16S ribosomal RNA". It matches the Rfam family "Bacterial small subunit ribosomal RNA", at positions 568 to 796 of the family's 1533-position model. The record is from RNAcentral.
UCCGUAGGUAGAUAAUUAAGUCAGAGGUGAAAUCCUGCAGCUCAACUGUAGAAUUGCCUUUGAUACUGGUUAUCUUGAGUCAUUAUGAAGUGGUUAGAAUGUGUAGUGUAGCGGUGAAAUGCAUAGAUAUUACACAGAAUACCGAUUGCGAAGGCAGAUCACUAAUAAUGUACUGACACUGAGGGACGAAAGCGUGGGGAGCGAACAGGAUUAGAUACCCUGGUAGUCC